Long non-coding RNA from Sycon ciliatum, 1745 nucleotides. RefSeq lists it as uncharacterized. Lineage: Eukaryota; Metazoa; Porifera; Calcarea; Leucosolenida; Sycettidae. The transcript has 3 exons. The record is from RefSeq and is a predicted model, not a curated record.
GCGCACGGAAUAAAUCCGAGUUGGUUUACGCCACGGAACGUGCACCAGUGAUAAUAGCACGACUGUAUGACAGGGACGCUGCGAGCGAAAGCGAGAGUGAGGAAUCUGGUGACAGUCCUAGUGCUAGCGCCUGUGAGAGCCAAGAGGGUAUCGCUAGUACCACUACCAGUAGGUCUACCAACUAUGGAACAAGAGCACCCAGACGCCCCGCUGAAGUGGAUGUGCACCAGACUGUUAUUAUGCAGGACAGCAUACGUCUGGUAUACCAUUCGGCUAGGCUCCUGCGGAAUGCCUGUCAGCAACAGGCAGAGAGUUUCGACACUACAAGCACAAGUCCUGGCAGCAGCACUGGUAUGAUUUCAGUGAAGCAAGCUGAGCAGUGCAUUCCUGCCCUGCUCCACAAUUUCCUUGUGUGGUUUUUGAGCUCAGGCCAGCAUGACAAUAUACCAGCAGCAUCCAGCAAGCUUGAAGUUGAUUCCACGCUCAACCGCUGUGUGAUGUCCUUUGCACAGGACCUAGUGUUCCAGUGCACAACUAUCGUGCCACCAAAGCAUGUUGCUCUUGGUUUGGCUGUACACCAUCUGUACAGAAGUGAACGACUUGUGACCAUACUGAACAGAUUUGGCCACAGCAUUGCGUACGCCCAGGUGCUGGAGAGAGAGACACGGAUGGCCGAAAGUAAACUCCACAGCAGGGAGGCUACUGACGGCCUUCCGGAUAUUGUCGAUAUUAUCUUUGUAUGUAAUGGAGUUUGAACAUUUUUUUCUGUCGCUGUGAUUCUUCUCUUCAUAUUACAGGCUGGCACCUAGAAAGCAAUGGGACAUUGGCAGUUGACUGGUUAAGCCUGCCACCUGCUCCAAAGUCAAUCCUAGAGUUCCUCUAGAGUUCCUCUAGAGUUCCUCCGGUGUUCCUCCGGUGCGGGUGCAAAACUGGUUGCAGCAGUGGCAACUGUUCGUGCCGCCGGCAUAUGCUGUUGUGUACAGAUGCUUGCACCUGUCGGCACCACUCUUCAGUAGUAUGCACAAACUACCCAGAGCAGCAUGCAGCAUUGCCUACGACCCAACACAUCUCACCUGAAACUGAUUUGGUCUGCAGUGACACAGCUCAUGACUGAUAGCAGCCAGCCAACCGUAAGGAUUCGGGACUGACAAACUUGUUGAGCAAUCAUGUGCAUGAUGGAUAGCAGCCAGCUCUAGAGUGUCCCACCACCUCUGGGAUAUCUUGCAACAAAUCUUAUGACAGAUCUGUGUCAGCAUCAGUGGAUGCCGGAACUGUCUUUCUUUGGCCGACAACCGCAUCCCGCAGCACGGGUGAUAGCACAUCUUCUUCUUAUCAUAUUAUCUACAUGACUGUAAUAUUGUCAUUAUAAUUUAACCUGUACCUUCAUUUUAAAUUGUUUCCAGAGGACCUAUGAUCUUCUUACUGGAGCUCCUAUACCAGAAAAGUUAGGCAUGAAAUAUGAUCGGAAUGUCCGGAGACCCAUGAAAGCGUGACAGUAAUAGUAACUUUACAGAUUAUGCCAGUACUAAGACUUUAUUAUUAUAAUCAGAGACUUCAUGCUAGGAAAUAAUAAAUUAUCCUUCUAGUGUACUUGUCCUAUUUCCUAUUUUGUGCAGGCUCCUUGUUGUAUAAUAUGUUCUCAAAUGUGACAUACAUUAUUACAAUGUAUUACUAUUGUGAAAUGACCCAAAGGCAGUAUGCCUAUCGAGGGGUUCAUUUGAUUGAAAGAACAGUACUACUACUAG